Molecule: ribosomal RNA, 497 nt
Filed under: uncultured bacterium
Lineage: Bacteria
Description: partial 16S ribosomal RNA
Rfam family: Bacterial small subunit ribosomal RNA
Source: RNAcentral
GAUGAACGCUGGCGGCGUGCCUAAUACAUGCAAGUCGAGCGAACAGACGAGGAGCUUGCUCCUCUGACGUUAGCGGCGGACGGGUGAGUAACACGUGGAUAACCUACCUAUAAGACUGGGAUAACUUCGGGAAACCGGAGCUAAUACCGGAUAAUAUAUUGAACCGCAUGGUUCACUAGUGAAAGACGGUUUUGCUGUCACUUAUAGAUGGAUCCGCGCCGCAUUAGCUAGUUGGUAAGGUAACGGCUUGCCAAGGCAACGAUGCGUAGCCGACCUGAGAGGGUGAUCGGCCACACUGGAACUGAGACACGGUCCAGACUCCUACGGGAGGCAGCAGUAGGGAAUCUUCCGCAAUGGGCGAAAGCUUGACGGAGCAACGCCGCGUGAGUGAUGAAGGUCUUCGGAUCGUAAAACUCUGUUAUUAGGGAAGAACAAAUGUGUAAGUAACUAUGCACGUCUUGACGGUACCUAAUCAGAAAGCCACGGCUAACUACGUG